RNAcentral lists this ribosomal RNA (406 nucleotides) under uncultured soil bacterium. RNAcentral describes it as "bacterial SSU rRNA". It matches the Rfam family "Bacterial small subunit ribosomal RNA", at positions 26 to 427 of the family's 1533-position model. The record is from RNAcentral.
AGAUUGAACGCUGGCGGCAGGCCUAACGCAUGCAAGUCGAGCGGUAGAGAGGUGCUUGCACCUCUUGAGAGCGGCGGACGGGUGAGUAAUGCCUAGGAAUCUGCCUAGUGGUGGGGGAUAACGUUCGGAAACGGACGCUAAUACCGCAUACGUCCUACGGGAGAAAGCGGGGGACCUUCGGGCCUCGCGCCAUUAGAUGAGCCUAGGUCGGAUUAGCUAGUUGGUGAGGUAAUGGCUCACCAAGGCGACGAUCCGUAACUGGUCUGAGAGGAUGAUCAGUCACACUGGAACUGAGACACGGUCCAGACUCCGUAACGGGAGGCAGCAGGUGGGAAUACGUGGACAAGUGGGGACAAAGCCUAGACUCCAGCCAUCGCCGCGUGUGUAGAAGAGUCGUCGGAUUAGG